CUGGUGUAACACUCCCACAGUGAAACCUACUCCCUCCAACUGUAUUAUGUACUCUGCAGUGAUAAGGCCAUUACAUUAUGCGGUACCUUUAGUGUUUGUUGCCUGGAAAAAUCGGGCAUACAUCUAGCUGGAGUACAGCUGAAGAGAGCUACAGAGUGGUCCUCUUAGCCAGAGCACUCCCGUGACUCUUCAGAUGGAAAACUCUCAUCACCAUUUAGCUGUUUUAGAAAUGUCUCAGGACUGCAAAGAGGCACCAAGACGGCAGAAAGGAACCAAGAAGACACAGAUAAAUAUAUUUGUCAAGGAACAGACAGAAGUAUUGACCGGGACCAGAAAGCCUCCUGGAAAGUUGCAGAUGUUGAAUAUCCGGAUCUGCACUAAGCCUCAUUGCUGUGGCAGAUUUCCUCCCCCCAACCUUCUCUUUACCCAAUACAAGUCAACUCUCUGAACAUCUGUUCUGGCAUUAGGAUUUCCACCAGUGCCACCUUGCUGUCUGUCACCAGAAGGGCUAAUCAGUAUUCCAGGAAGUCGAUUUCACAACACAUUGCUCUCAGAGCCUUGUAAGCCAUGAAAGCUCUGGAAGGUUAUGCUUAAAGAAAAGAAGAGUCAAUAUGAUAAGCAGAGCUCCUUUGGUUAAAAUCAGUUGCUUUACAUUCUAUAUGAAAUACUUAGCUUUUCUAAUAACCUUGAAGCAAAAUUAUUGUGAGUUUGCUAUCUAAUUACAAUGAAUUACCAUUUACGGCCAAACAUAUUAAGUCACUACUUGUGUAGCUCACAAAUAUAAUGCAUAUAUUUUAUUCUCAAUCAGUACAUAUUUACUUAUUCUAUAUAGUAUUUGAAAUAUCAAAUAUAGUAUUUGAUAUCCAAGAAUUUUAUACCAUGGUUAAUAAUAAAAUCAUUUUGGGGAAAAUUUUAACACCUUUUAGUGAAAUCACCAUGCUUCAAAUAUUAGCUAAUUAUUUAAAAUAAUCUCAGCACUAACCUAAGAAUUGAUAUAGCUACUGAUAAUAAUACAAGUGAUAUGUGACCAACUAACAAUUGUUAAGGUGAAGACCAUUAGAAUUCUAAAUGUCUUAUGCAUAUUACUUUAUAUGGUCCACAUAAUAACUGCAUCAAGCAGAUAGAAUCAUCUUUCUGUAGUGGUUUGAAUGCAAAUGGCUCCACAGGCUCAUAGAGAAUGGUAUUAUUAGGAAACAGAGUACAUGUGGUCUUGUUGGAGGAGAUAUGUCACUAGGGUUGUGGGCUUUGAGGUUCAAGGUUAGUGCCAUUCUCUCUUCCUGCUACCUGCCCAUCUGGUUACAAAACUCAGCUCCAGGACCUGUAUGCUGCAAUGCUUUCCAACAUGGCAACAAUGGAAUAAACCUGUGUACUAACUGUAAUCCAACCCCAUUUAAAUGUUUCAUUUAUAAGAGUUGCUAUGGUCAUGGUACUUCUUCACAGUAAUAAAAUCCAGACAUUACAACUUUAUGAAUGACAAAAAUGAGGCUUAAGGAAUUGAAGUAUUCUCAAGGCAAUAUGUCUAAACAGAAGCAGAAACACAGUUUCCACAGUGGCCGUCUGGCAGCUCAACCACAUUCAUAACAUAGCAAGGACAGACUAUCUCUUCUUCACCACGGAUUCUCAAAACUCCACUGUUGUAUACACACACACACACACACACACACACACGUAUAUAUAUAUGAGAAAACACAAAGAUCUGGAGGGUUGAGGUGCUCUCCACAGAAACCUCUUUAUUUUUCAUAUACCUUGCUAGGUAAAAUUUAUUUUGUCCAAUCUACCUGUGCUUUUAUACUUUUUCCCCCUGUAAUCGUACUAAUCUCCGAUGAUGGAUUUUUUUUUACAGUUUCUCAGAUUUACCAUCUACAUCAUGUUACUGUUUCUUGUUUCUACAAGAUAGUCCACUCAAUCUGCCCCCUUUAAAAAGAAGCUAAAGUGGUAACAUCAUUGUUGUCGCAAGAUAAGUUGCCUUGAAAAUAUGAUAGUCUAGAAGGUGCUAUCCUCUGCUGUGAUUUCAACACGCUAGCUCAAAGCAGGCAACACAGGAGAGCCCAGCAGGCAAAUCAUCUCAGGAUGAUGGCUGCCUCUUGAACUAGGUACACCACUAGGCAGA
Mus musculus (house mouse) is the source of this 2110-nucleotide long non-coding RNA. RefSeq annotates it as predicted gene 13575. Lineage: Eukaryota; Metazoa; Chordata; Mammalia; Rodentia; Muridae. The record is from RefSeq and is a predicted model, not a curated record. The transcript is spliced from 3 exons.